UAGGGAAUAUUGGGCAAUGGAUGCAAGUCUGACCCAGCCAUGCCGCGUGCCGGAUGAAGGCCCUCAGGGUUGUAAACGGCUUUUAUUCGGGAAGAAGAGCGGGGAUGCGUCCCUGUGUGACGGUACCGAAUGAAUAAGCACCGGCUAACUCCGUGCCAGCAGCCGCGGUAAUACGGAGGGUGCGAGCGUUGUCCGGAUUUAUUGGGUUUAAAGGGUGCGUAGGUGGCUUGAUAAGUCAGUGGUGAAAUACAGCCGCUCAACGGUUGAGGUGCCAUUGAUACUGUCAAGCUUGAAAGAAUUGGAGGCUGCCGGAAUGGAUGGUGUAGCGGUGAAAUGCAUAGAUAUCAUCCAGAACACCGAUUGCGAAGGCAGGUGGCUACGAUUUAUUUGACACUGAGGCACGAAAGCAUGGGGAGCAAACAGG
RNAcentral lists this ribosomal RNA (424 nucleotides) under uncultured bacterium. RNAcentral's name for it is "bacterial SSU rRNA". It matches the Rfam family "Bacterial small subunit ribosomal RNA", at positions 355 to 776 of the family's 1533-position model. The record is from RNAcentral.